This 876-nucleotide long non-coding RNA is filed under the name Homo sapiens (human). Its description in RNAcentral is "non-protein coding lnc-C9orf66-15:11". Lineage: Eukaryota; Metazoa; Chordata; Mammalia; Primates; Hominidae. The record is from RNAcentral.
CUCUCUGUCUUCGUUGUUGUUAACGGGGAAACUUGCCGCCCGGUGGCUUUGCUUCAGGCGGAAGUCCGCGUGCUUUGAUACCCUCAGGGGGCACUUACAGGCUAGGUGGACACAGGGCUAGGGGUAAGAAUGCAGCAGUGAACAUGGUUCCUGCACUCAUGAAGCAAAUGUAUCCACUGUGGUACAAAAGAGACUGUAAAAAACAAACCCAAAUGGACAACAGGAAAAGACAGAAGCUGAUUGAGGUCCCAGCUUGGUAACAGUUUGAAGAGUUGCAGGACUGGCUGGAUGAGUACUGGCUGCAGCAAAUCAGGCUGCCAGGAUUCUUUAUGGCUGUUUCUGCUUCCACUACAGCUGAGUCAGAAAGGUCGCUGCCCCGUGGUGGCACUAGACGCAGUGGACCUGGCAAGCAAAUGUUUCCGCUAUUAGCUCUCAGCAACAGAGACUCAUUUAUGGUCACCUUGGAAAUCUGGGCUUAUCGAUCUACAGCCCAAGUCUGCUGAGAAGCUGGAGCUUACUAAAGGGGAAACCUGAGAGCUGUUCAAGCCCCAAAUAUUUUCCACUUCUGCGUCACCUCUGCUGUCUGUUAGCAGAGUGGAGGAGAAAAUACACAGCACAAACAACGUGAAAAAAUAGUUACUCUAUUCAUUAAAAGCUGUAACUUCCAGAUUGGACUUGAGAAGCAAUUAAGCAACAGAGGAACCUCAUCUACUAUCUGUAUUCAGGCAUGCUCAUGAGAACACGCUGCUCCAGCUGGACUUAGAGGAACCCGGUGCAUCACAGGCAUUCCUGACAGAGUCUCGUGGUCCUGCUGGUCCACUCAGUGGUACUCAGUCCUCCUCAUUCUCGGGGAUAGGUUCCAAGACCCCCAGGGGA